UUAUUAUUUAGUAUAUAUAAGGAAAAAUUUUUGUUGUUAUAGUUUAUUAGUACUGUCAAGGAAUUGAUGAAAUAUUAAAAAAUUGUUUUAAUAAAAGUAUGUUUAUUUUACAGUACCUUUUGUAUCAGGGUUAAUCAAUUUAUUUAAUUUAUAUUUACAUCUCGAUUUCAGAAGAGCUAAAUUAUUAUUUUAGUUAAUGUGGAAUAAUUAUUAAGAAUAUAUUUUAGAGGAGAAAUUUUAUUCGAUUUUGAGGGUAUCUAGUUUUUUGAGAAAUAAAUUUAAUUUAGUUUCAUUAAUUAUAUUUUAUAUUAAUAUAUAAUCUAUAGAAUGAAAUAAAUAUUAUAGGGGAUAAGCUCUAUAUUAUUCUAUAAAAAAUUUAUGAAUUUAUUUUUGUAGGGUUAGAAUUAUCCAUCAUUAGUAAGUGUGUUAUAAUUUAUAUUUGUUAUUAAUUAAUUUAAUUUUUUUUAGUACAUUAUCAAAAUAUUAAAUUUAACUUAUUAAUUUAAGUAAUAAUGAUUAAAUUAGUAUAAAAUUAUGUUAAUUAUAUAAUUAACUUUAUGAUAAAAUAAGGAACUCGGCAAAUAUAGUUCUCGCCUGUUUAUCAAAAACAUGUCCUUUUGAAUUUAAUUUAAGGUCUGACCUGCCCAGUGAUAUAUUUAACGGCCGCGGUAUACUGACCGUGCAAAGGUAGCAUAAUCAUUAGUCUUUUAAUAGAGGGCUGGAAUGAAAGGUUCAACGAGGAAUUGACUGUCUCAUUUUAUUUGUUUUAAAAUUUAAUUUUUUAGUUAAAAAGCUAAAAUGUUAUUGGAAGACRAGAAGACCCUAUAGAGCUUUACAUAAUUUUAAUUAGAUUUCAUAUAAAUAUAAAUAUCUCUAGUUAUUAUUAUGUUUUGUUGGGGUGACAAAAAUAUAUAAUUAACUUUUUUAUUUAUUUAACAUUAAUUUAUGAAUAUUAGAUCCAUUAUUAUUGAUUACUAGAUUAAGUUACCUUAGGGAUAACAGCUGUAAUCCUCCUCCAGAGUUCAUAUUUACAGGAUGGGCUUGCGACCUCGAUGUUGGAUUAAGAUAAUAAUUAGGUGUAGCCGCUUAAUUUAUAGGUCUGUUCGACCUUUAAAUUCUUACAU
RNAcentral lists this ribosomal RNA (1124 nucleotides) under Cratilla metallica. RNAcentral describes it as "partial 16S ribosomal RNA". The record is from RNAcentral. Lineage: Eukaryota; Metazoa; Arthropoda; Insecta; Odonata; Libellulidae.